Molecule: long non-coding RNA, 268 nt
Filed under: Mytilus galloprovincialis (Mediterranean mussel)
Lineage: Eukaryota; Metazoa; Mollusca; Bivalvia; Mytilida; Mytilidae
Source: RNAcentral
CUUUUCAUAAUGACACGAAAAUUUCUGAAGUACUGCAAAGGGAUAGUAGUUCCAUCAGACGCAUAUGCAUAUGAUAUCUACAUAUCUUGCAAUGAAAAUGACGUUUAUUUACGGCAUUGGCUGACGUCAUCCUUUGUUCCUUUUCUUCAAGAAAAAAAAACUUAGUGUGUUUUUGCCUUAUCGAGAUUGUCAAAUAGGGCGACUGCGUGAGGAAGAAACCAUUGAUAUAAUGUCAACGAGUCUUAAUUUUGUAAUUUUGCUGUCCGAG